Molecule: non-coding RNA, 86 nt
Organism: Acanthosepion pharaonis
Lineage: Eukaryota; Metazoa; Mollusca; Cephalopoda; Sepiida; Sepiidae
Source: the annotation of a GenBank genome assembly
UUCCCGGACGAUUACUGAAGUUAAGCGACGUCGAGCUUGGUCAGUAGCUAGAUGGGUGACCGCUUGGGAAUACCAGGUACUGCAGG